CUGGCCCCUCAUCUGAGUCCUCGCUCUCCUCAGCCACAGCCUGCACCUGCUGCCGGCUAACUACAACAAAUGCCAUGAGUUCCAGCUGAAUCUCCAGCAUGGGUUUCUUCAGUGUGCUUGCUAUCGGCCGCCAUAGUAAUAGCACUCAUGGAAUAUGGCGCUGCUGAAGGGAGGUGUUUUCGCUCUGUCAAGGCCAACCGCCCUGAGACUCUAGCUGGGAGAAACACCUGAAGAUGGGCUUUCUCGUAAUAUCAUACUGGAUGUCGAUUGGACUCUCAGUGUUGGACCUUUGCGUGGGGGUGGAGGGGGUAGGGAUUUGGGCUGACUUUCAGUCUAACUUUUGUGUGUUUUGAAUCAGAUCUUGCCUUGCUUUUGCUGCUAUCACUUCACACUUAGUAAAAGUACCUCUUCUCUAAAUCAAUGGAGUUGGGGCGGGGUUUCUUUUGAACGGAGACGGGCCUGACAGAUUAGAGACCGUUCUGGUGGCAUAUUCUACUCUCCGUGGAGAGAUUCAUGAAACUGAGAGGUUGCAUGGUGAAGAGAGACAGAGACAGAGAGAGAGAGAGAGACAGAGAGAGAGAGACAGAGAGAGAGAGACAGACAAACAGACCAGGGCAAGGCAGGGACUCACUCUGUGUUUUUUAUCUCCAAUGCAGGGAAGAAGCCACCCAUUUAGCAGCCUCUUUGCAGUUGUAGCAGACAAGAUAGUCAGGAACAUCGUGAGGUAAAUCAAACGGCACAUGGAAUACAGACAAGAAAAAAGGCGGGAAAAAAGGGAAACUCCCCCUUUAUACCCACAGCAACCAAUCAUAACGUGGAUUGCCUCAUGCAGAAGCCAGCCCAACCAAUCAGCUCUUCCCCCAUUGGACACUUUCCUGUUCCAGCUCCUGAAUUUGAUAUCCUAACAAGACUGACAAUCAUCCAACUGAUGAUGUCCCCAGUGCAAGGGGGAGGGAGGGGGCAGAGGAGGGUCCUGCAGUCAUGAAUGGAGGGGGGGGGCUUCUCUCCCCUCCUCGAGUCCAUCUGGGAAUCCCUCCCUCUAGAGAUCCCUGGAAACUCAGUGGGUUGGGGGGGUGUAUGUCAAAAUGGACUAGAGUUAGAUUUGUGGAUUGGAAGGGAAGCGUCAAUACUUGUUAUAAUUUGGGGAGCAGGUUCUUACCCACCUCAACAGCAACUCCUUGGUCUGCCCAUCCGCUCUUGUAAAUCCCACCCAGCGGAUUUCUCUCUGGAGGCUGCUGUUUCCGCUUCUUUACUUGGCUGGUUCAACCCGGGCUUUCCUCGCCUUACCUUCCUCUCAAAUUAAUCGUCCCGGUGUUUUCCACUUUCGUUGCAGCGCAACUUUGGGGUGCCACAUUCUCAGCAUAAAGAUACAGGAAUGAAUCCUUCUUCUGAAUUAGGCCAGGCUCUUCAGGCCUUUCCUGCAUGCUGGAACCAGGAUAGAUUUUGGGUCUUUCAUCACUGCUUUUAUCGCUGAAUCAGUAAACUUUUUCUAUCAUGAUUGAGGAGCAGAGGAGAAAAGAAUAUAUUAUGUGUUAAGAUUUCAAAUAGGGUUUUGUAGAUAAUAGUUUAUAAUAGGUAGGUUGCAUAACACCCUUCAUGGCUUUUGCUGGUUAAUCUUAGUGGAUAGAGAUUGGAGGCUAAAGAUGUUUUAGAGACGGGUUUAGAGAGAAUGGAGUGAUGAAUAGGAUGAAGAAGUUUCUUGGUUUUACUUUAAGAGAAAUUUAUAAGUUGUUAAUUUUCAUUACACUUGUUGGGGAUGAAGAUUCACUUCUUUUUUUCCUUGUGUUGGUUUUACCUGUUUAAUAAUGUAAUCUUUGAUGAAACAACUUCUGCGAAAACAAAAAGUAUGCAUUCUGAUAUUUUUGUCAUUAAAAUCGUUGAUGCACUUUUAAUUGAUUGUGCCAGGUAUUUGACCAUAUAUUUGAUAACUAAUAAAUAAAUAUACCAAGUAUAACACUCAACACUGAUUAUUUGUAGAUUGCCAUUUAUGGAUUUUCAUGAUUUUUUUUUUAAAAAAGGAACGUGAGAUCGAUUGUACAGCCAGGUUGAUACCUCCUUAACAAUUGUAUAAGCUUGCCAGAAUUGUUUGCUGA
Non-coding RNA from Notechis scutatus (mainland tiger snake), 2093 nucleotides. NCBI's taxonomy places the organism in Eukaryota, Metazoa, Chordata, Lepidosauria, Squamata, Elapidae. The record is from RefSeq and is a predicted model, not a curated record.